RNAcentral lists this long non-coding RNA (1944 nucleotides) under Homo sapiens (human). RNAcentral describes it as "HSALNT0110815". Lineage: Eukaryota; Metazoa; Chordata; Mammalia; Primates; Hominidae. The record is from RNAcentral.
CGCCCCCCGGCGGGCGGAGCCCGGCGCCGCGGCCAGGAUUUCCCACCUCGCUCCCGCGACUCCGCUGCGGGUCUGCACACCCGAGGACUCGGUUUGAAACGCCCGCUUAUUUAUUUUCUUGUCGCCUCGCUACAAGAUUCUAUCCUUGUUUGGGCAUGAGUGGGGGGCGGCAGUCUCGUGGGACCGGCGGCAUUCGUCGUUCCUCCUUACGGGGAUAAUUCGAGAAGUGCGGUCCGGGGGUACUUAACCGAAACUAGCAAUCCCAGGCGGUACAAGGCCCUCCAUCGUAGGCAAAGCACUACCUGAAUGUAGAUUUGGGCCAUACGUUGGAAAAUAAGACAUGAGAGUAUGCUCCGAUCAACUUUUACUGUUCACUGGACAACUAUUUUGGGAAUUUGCAGACCUAUAAAGCCCAUCUAUAAAUCUCAAGCAUGUCCACUUUCAGAGAAGAGAAAUGCUGACAACCAUUUAGUCUCUGAGGACAACACUUUUAAAGUGUAACAAUGUGGCAUCCAGAGCUUAUCCAGAUGAGCGGAGAGCAAAUGAAUUUCCUUCUGCUCCCCUGUUGAAGAGGAGAGAAAAAUUCUUCAAGCUUUAUACAGGACUCCAUCAUAGGACUGGAGAGAGAUUGGAUGUCAGAGUGAUUGAUGUGCUCCUACUGGAAGAAGGCAAACAUCCAUAUGUGAACUGCCUGUGGGGUUUCCAAGGAAAGGAACGGCAGGCAGCCUCUAUGAGCUUAAAGAAGAUAACUGGGACUUUAGUCCUAUAACCUCAAGGAACAGUAUUCUGUGAACCAUCUGAGAAGCUUGGAAGAGGACCCCAAACUCCAAAUAAGAAGCUCAGUGUGUCUGACACCUUGACUGCAGGCUUGGGAGGUCCUGAGCAGAAGAUCCAGUUCAACAGUGCCUGGACUCCUGAUCCACAAAAACUGAUAACAAAUAUUUAUUGUUUUAAGAUGCUAAGUUUGUAGUCAUUUUUUAUACAGCAACAGAAAACUAAACACACACAUAAACAGUUAUAAGUGCUCACUGUAUAUGAGGCUUUUCAUUAAUAAUCUAUAUUUUAUAAUAGAAUUAGAAUAUAGAUCUGUGAAGCUGAAGACACUCAAUCCUUGCUAGAUUUAAAUCAGGAAAAUCAGCUGAGAAUCAUUCCUUGAUAGAACCUGGAAAACAAGACCCUAUGAGAGACCCUGGGAAUUACAUUAAAUUCACUGUGGUUCCCAGUGUCACUGAAGAGGUUUUCCUUUCAUAGUCAGGUAGUCACCAUACUGUUAAGCAUUUGAACACAUGGGCAACUUCCAGAAUAGUUAUGACAUUGAUAUACCAAUCUCCAAAAUUCCUAGAAUACCAUGUUUUCAUGGUUGACCUUCAAAUCAGUCAGUUCUUUGUAACAUUGAGCCAUAAAGAUAGGGCAAAUACUUAAUGUUUUACAUAUAUUCAGAGAUUGACCCUCAAAAUACAGCCCAGAGAAACUCAAAAGAAUUAACUCUAUUUCUUCAAAUUGUGUGACGCCACCAAGGCCAGAUGACUUCAGCAUUGGGAAGGCAAUAUCCAGCUGUCAUCUUCUUGAUCCUCAUAUGCUACUACUAGCAUCUAGCAUUUACUGAGCAGAUAGUUUUAUUGUCCAGUUUUUAAAGAUAAGAAAAUUGAGGUAUUAGGAAAGUUAAGUUGGUUGCCUAGGGAAACACGAAGAUAUAGCCCAGAUUCACUCCCAGGCAGGCAGAUGCCAGUGUCUGCUCUCUUUACCACCGAAAUAUCCUGCUACAUGUACAAUUUCAAUAAAUAUCUGGACUUACUGGAACAAAACAAAUCAACAACAUUCUUAUUUUCUUUCUUCAGUUUAGAUUAAAUAAUUUAAAUGUCUUCUUAAGAAGCUACAGUUUUUUGAGGCACAGAGGGAUAGGAGGGUAGGUCCUACCAGUUGAGUCACUCAGCCCUAUAGUUG